RNAcentral lists this ribosomal RNA (483 nucleotides) under uncultured bacterium. RNAcentral describes it as "partial 16S ribosomal RNA". It matches the Rfam family "Bacterial small subunit ribosomal RNA", at positions 28 to 523 of the family's 1533-position model. The record is from RNAcentral.
GACGAACGCUGGCGGCGUGCUUAACACAUGCAAGUCGAACGGUGAAGGUGGAGCUUGCUCCGCCGGAUCAGUGGCGAACGGGUGAGUAACACGUGGGCAACCUGCCCCAGACUUCGGGAUAACUCCUCGAAAGAGGCGCUAAUACCGGAUACGAGUUCUGCAGGCAUCUGCGGAAUUGGAAAGGUUUUCGGUCAGGGAUGGGCGCGCGGCCUAUCAGCGUGUUGGUGAGGUAGUGGCUCACCAAGGCGACGACGGGUAGCCGGCCUGAGCGGGCGCCCGGCCACACUGGGACUGAGACACGGCCCGGACUCCUACGGGAGGCAGCAGUGGGGCAUAUUGCGCAAUGGGCGAAAGCCUGACACAGCCACGCCGCGUGAGGGAUGACGGCCUUCGGGUUGUAAACCUCUUUCAGCAGGGAAGAAGCGAAAGUGACGGUACCUGCAGAAGAAGCACCGGCUAACUACGUGCCAGCCGCCGCAGUAA